GGUAUGGCCACACAGGAUGCCAUGCAGGAUGAUGCGCAGCUGAACACCGACCUGGCCACAGGGGAGUACAAUGACCUGCAGGUAAAAUUGGAUGGUUACAACACCUUAGAUACUGCUAGUCACCCACCAAUAGGAAAGCCAGGGCCACCAGAAAUCCUGCCUUUGUCCGC
This 170-nucleotide ribosomal RNA is filed under the name uncultured eukaryote. RNAcentral describes it as "partial 18S ribosomal RNA". The record is from RNAcentral.